This 210-nucleotide unclassified non-coding RNA is filed under the name Hevea brasiliensis (rubber tree). Lineage: Eukaryota; Viridiplantae; Streptophyta; Magnoliopsida; Malpighiales; Euphorbiaceae. The record is from RNAcentral.
GGAGAUGGAGGAUUCAGAAGGAGAGGAAAUAUUUGAAUCUGAGGAGAUAACCAAUGAUGAAAAUGAGGAGAUGGAUAAAGUUGCAUUGGAAGACUCUUAUGUUCAACAUGUACCUUAUACACAUGGUAAUUCAAAAGGAAAUUCUUGUAGCAUUACUGAAAGCCAUGCUACUAGGUUUGACAAAGCAACGGAUGACCAGCCCAGUUCUCU